UUUACCUAUUUUGUGUUUGCCCGUUUAUGUGGCUGCCUCUUACAUUUGUUCAGUUGUUAUGUUUUAUUGCCCUGUUCUUUUGGGUCUGGUUUGAUUGGGAAUGGGAUUUAUUUUAUGUCCAGCUAGCUAGAUUAGUUGGGGGUGGAUGUCUUGGGUGUAAUGCUAUCUCCUAGUGCAAGGCAGUCAGGAUGUACCCAUUCAGUGAACUAAAACUGUUUAUACUCUCUUUCC
This is a non-coding RNA of Pelobates cultripes (western spadefoot toad), 231 nucleotides long. The record is from the annotation of a GenBank genome assembly. Lineage: Eukaryota; Metazoa; Chordata; Amphibia; Anura; Pelobatidae.